CCUACGGGAGGCAGCAGUAGGGAAUCUUCCGCAAUGGGCGAAAGCCUGACGGAGCAACGCCGCGUGAGUGAUGAAGGUUUUCGGAUCGUAAAGCUCUGUUGCCAGGGAAGAACGUCCGGUAGAGUAACUGCUAUCGGAGUGACGGUACCUGAGAAGAAAGCCCCGGCUAACUACGUGCCAGCAGCCGCGGUAAUACGUAGGGGGCAAGCGUUGUCCGGAAUUAUUGGGCGUAAAGCGCGCGCAGGCGGUCAUUUAAGUCUGGUGUUUAAGGCCAAGGCUCAACCUUGGUUCGCACUGGAAACUGGGUGACUUGAGUGCAGAAGAGGAGAGUGGAAUUCCACGUGUAGCGGUGAAAUGCGUAGAUAUGUGGAGGAACACCAGUGGCGAAGGCGACUCUCUGGGCUGUAACUGACGCUGAGGCGCGAAAGCGUGGGGAGCA
RNAcentral lists this ribosomal RNA (439 nucleotides) under uncultured Dictyoglomus sp. RNAcentral's name for it is "bacterial SSU rRNA". It matches the Rfam family "Bacterial small subunit ribosomal RNA", at positions 338 to 770 of the family's 1533-position model. The record is from RNAcentral. Lineage: Bacteria; Pseudomonadati; Dictyoglomota; Dictyoglomia; Dictyoglomales; Dictyoglomaceae.